GAUGAAGAACGCAGCAAAAUGCGAUACUUGGUGUGAAUUGCAGAAUCCCGUGAACCAUCGAGUUUUUGAACGCAAGUUGCGCCCGAAGCCUUUUGGCCGAGGGCACGUCUGCCUGGGCGUCACGCAUCGCGUCGCCCCCCACAAUUCUCCGUAAAAGGAACAUGUGAUUUGGGGGCGGAUAUUGGUCUCCCGUGCUCAUGGCGUGGUUGGCCGAAAUAGGAGUCCUUUCGAUGGACGCACGAACUAGUGGUGGUCGUAAAAACCCUCGUCUUUUGUUUCGUGCUGUUGCUCGCAAGGUAAACUCUUUAAAAACCCCAAUGUGUCGUCUCUUGACGACGCUUCGACCGCGACCCCAGGUCAGGCGGGACUACCCGCUGAGUUUAAGCAUAUCAAUAAGCGGAGGA
RNAcentral lists this unclassified non-coding RNA (404 nucleotides) under soil metagenome. RNAcentral describes it as "partial contains 5.8S ribosomal RNA, internal transcribed spacer 2, and large subunit ribosomal RNA". The stretch from base 1 to 122 matches the Rfam family "5.8S ribosomal RNA", at positions 35 to 154 of the family's 154-position model. The record is from RNAcentral.